Molecule: non-coding RNA, 924 nt
Organism: Tetranychus urticae (two-spotted spider mite)
Lineage: Eukaryota; Metazoa; Arthropoda; Arachnida; Trombidiformes; Tetranychidae
Source: RefSeq, a predicted model, not a curated record
GUUUGUUUCUUACUUAUUAACCAUGUUACGAUAGAUAAAGUUCAUGAAAUAAAUGCAACAAACUGGAAGCUGGCUGAAGCUGGAUGUUCCCAUUAUUCAAAAAAAUCUGAACUCGAUUAAGAACAUAAAGUUGGACUUACUAAUUCUAAUAUUGAAUAUUUGUUAUAACGUUAUCCGAUGCUAUUAUUGAUACAGCUGGUGCUUUUAUGAUUAAUAUCUUCAAAGGCAUAAAUUUCAGUUCGUUUCAUGUUCAUGACUCUAGUCGAAACUUGUAUAAUCAAAAUUCGAAUUGUUCGAGCUGAAAUGUAUUGUUUAAGAGUGCAAUUAUGUUAGCAAAAGAGUAGCAUUUACUUAUCUGAUUGUGAUGGUUAUGACGAUAAAUCACUAGUUUAACAUACAAAGUACAAGGUUACAAUAUUCUUAAGGAUUAAUUUCAAAUAAUAUUAGUUAAUUUCCAUAAUAAUUGUGAUUUGUCUGAUCACUGGUCAGAUAAAAGAUGUAUAUUCAUGAUAUUUGGCAUUCCAGGUUUGAUAAUACACAAAGCAUUGGUAACCUGCAUAAAUAACAAUGAUAUUCUGGUUCAUUGUUAUUGAUCACAAUAAAGGGAUGAAACCAAUUUGAUCAAUAACAAGAUUCAAACCAUUUGAUCAAUUUGAUUUCAAUAUAAAACACAACAGUAAGAAUCAUGAUGCAUCUUUCAGAUACUCAUCUACGGCAACCCGUACAACCAGCAAGCUCAUUAGAAUCGUUAAUUGAAUCAUUUUUUAGAGAUAUACCUGAAAACCCCUGAGAAACCUGAAUAAGGAUAAUAAUUAUUCAUAAAUAAUGGACAAAAAGUUUGCUUUUAAAAAAUUAUUUAAUAUUCUUAUUUAAGAAAUGUUACAAUCAACAGAUGAAGAGUUUAAAUGAAAAUUCAUCUUAUAU